RNAcentral lists this ribosomal RNA (371 nucleotides) under uncultured organism. RNAcentral describes it as "partial 16S ribosomal RNA". It matches the Rfam family "Bacterial small subunit ribosomal RNA", at positions 527 to 896 of the family's 1533-position model. The record is from RNAcentral.
GUAGGUGGCAAGCGUUGUCCGGAAUUAUUGGGCGUAAAGCGCGCGCAGGCGGUUCUUUAAGUCUGAUGUGAAAGCCCACGGCUCAACCGUGGAGGGUCAUUGGAAACUGGAGAACUUGAGUACAGGAGAGGAAAGCGGAAUUCCACGUGUAGCGGUGAAAUGCGUAGAGAUGUGGAGGAACACCAGUGGCGAAGGCGGCUUUCUGGUCUGUAACUGACGCUGAGGCGCGAAAGCGUGGGGGAGCAAACAGGAUUAGAUACCCUGGUAGUCCACGCCGUAAACGAUGAGUGCUAAGUGUUAGGGGGUUUCCGCCCCUUAGUGCUGCAGCUAACGCAUUAAGCACUCCGCCUGGGAGUACGGCCGCAAGGCUG